This is a long non-coding RNA of Scylla paramamosain (green mud crab), 2200 nucleotides long. RefSeq lists it as uncharacterized. The transcript has 4 exons. NCBI's taxonomy places the organism in Eukaryota, Metazoa, Arthropoda, Malacostraca, Decapoda, Portunidae. The record is from RefSeq and is a predicted model, not a curated record.
AGCACAGCCUUCACCAAUCAGCGCCAAGUAUUCAAGUCACGUGAUACUCUCUCCUCGCCGUCUCCUCAGCCAUUCGCCCUGCGCCCGCUGACGUGACGAGUCCCCGGUUGUGUUACGGCGGUGAAGCGGUGUUGCGUCUGUCCCUGGCGGGCAUGUUGUGGUGGACUGCGGUGUGGAGGGAGAGGUGGAUGUGAGUAUGGCCUGGUGGUGGAUAGGGAGGAGUGGAUAGUGGAAGAGAGAUGUGGAGAGUAGGAUGGUGGAAGGGGGAGGUGGAGGUGGCUAUGGCGGACGUGACUGGGUUGAGGUGGUGGUUGUGGUGGUGUUUGGUAUGGUUGGAAUGGUUGUAGAGGGUGUUGGUAGUGGUGGUGAACGUGACUGGCUUAUGUUAAAGGUGGUUGUGGUUGUUGGGGAUUGUGGUGGUUGUGUGACAGUGGUGGGUGCAGCGGACGCAACGGUGUUGUGGUUGUUGGGUGUGGUUGAGGAUUGCCAUGGUGGUGGUGGUGGUGGUGGAGGUGGUAGGUGGCGGUGGUCGUAGUCGGAGCGGGCUAAGUGGUGGUGGUGGUGGUGUAAAAAGGUGUUUAUCGGACGGAGUGGAAGUGGUGGUGGUGGCGGUGAUACGAUUAUCAGGGAUGAGAGAGAGAGAGAGAGAGAGAGAGAGAGAGAGAGAGAGAGAGAGAGAGAGAGAGUGUGUGUGUGUGUGUGUGUGUGUGUGUACUCCUAUAAUCAGCAAAUUGCAGUCACUCGUUCGCUGUUUCACCUCCCUGUUUCAGGCCUUCUCUCCCCUUCCCUUCCUCCUCGCUCCCUUCCUAGCCUGCCCGCCACCCUCUCCCCGCUUUUCCCUGCCUGUCCUCCCCUGCUCCUCGUGUCCCAGAUAAAUUGUUAUCUUUCCAAGGGUUGAGGAGAACAUGGUCGUGGUUCAAGUGAAGCCACUACAGCCACUCCCUGACAAGCCUUCCACACCGGGUGAGUGUUGUUCAAGCAUGUAUUAGUAUUGCUAAUUCCUUAUUUCCUAGAACAUCUACCACUAUAUAAUGGAAAUGUCUUUCCAACACAAAUAACGUCAAGGAAAAAUAAACUCUACACUAACUAAGUGAUGAAAAACGUAGCAUCAUCCGCUACACAAAACAAUACAGCAGCGAAGUGACACUACCAGGACUUGAACCAACACCUGCCUGCCUCACAGACACCUGCCGUGGUGCCAGGGAGUGCCGAGGCCUGUGCUGCCACCACGCUGAGAGAAGGAGAAAGAGAAGAGCAUCAGAUGAGGAAUGACCGUGGCAGGAAGGAUGGUGUGUUAGGUGACUGGUUCAGACAGUGACAGUGGACCAAAGAAAUGCUGGAGAAAGAUUAGACCACAGGUGGUUCAUGUUGUAGUUGUUCAAGAUUUGGAAGAAAACAUUUUUUUUUUUCUAGACAGUGGCAGCAGACACACAAGAGAGGAUGGUGUGGUGGACAAGAGGAUGCAGGGAGACAGCAGACAGAAUGGAAGCUACAGAUGAAAGAAGAGCAGGUCAAGCUAUGGCAGCAGACAGAUAGACAGACAGAUUGGAUAAGAAAGAAGUAUUAUUUAGUGAGACAGGACCACUGGAAGCUGUCAGAGUGCUGUGGCACGUGGCAAGAACCAAGUGUUCAGGAGCACACACUGUCCCUUCACCAGUCAGCAGAUCUGGGCGGCUUGGAAGCCUCACUACAAACUGAAGACCCGUUCACUUGAAGGACACAGUUGGAGUCGGACACAAGAUCCAAGAGGGAGUUAUUUUUAAACGAGAGCUUCAGGCAGAAAAAUUCGAGUGGAUUUUCAACUCUAAAAAUAACUUUUUUGGGGGGGAUAUUUUGAAGCUUCAUUAUCUUGAAAAAUAACUCCAGAUAUUAUGACUCUAGCUGGAAGUUGACCUGAGCAAUGUAGGGUUUGCUGCAGUGAGAUUACCAAGGCACGAGUGUCUGGGAUUUUAAAGAUGAUGGAUAUGUGUCCUGUGUGCUGCUGUGCUGGGAGGAGAGGAGCAGCAGCAGUCGUGAAGCUCUGCUGCUGCUGUCACUGGUGCAGCUGUUCACUCCUGCAGCUACCUUCCCUCAACAUACUGUGUCUUCCCUCACCUGCAAUGAACAACUAUGAACAAUACUUCUCCUGCGAUGAGGAACAGUGAAUAACACCUCUCUCUCUCUCUCUCUCUCCUCUCUCUCUCUCUCUCUCUCUCUCUCU